AAAAAAUAAAAGACUUUCCAAAUCUCAAAAAUCCUGGGAAGUUUUCAUGAAAAGUAAGAUCUCUUUCCAUUUUUUAUCUAACGUAAAAAAUGAAUAAAGAGACCGGUAAGGCUGGUGAGAAGAGGAAGAGGACUGCAGGAGUAGACAAAGAUCUGUCCACGUUGAAACGAAAACAACGGGAUAGCACCCCCGACAGAGUAUUGAAGACUUGGGGUGAACUUCCACCAAAAGAGAAGCUAUCUACU
Dermochelys coriacea (leatherback sea turtle) is the source of this 245-nucleotide long non-coding RNA. RefSeq lists it as uncharacterized. The record is from RefSeq and is a predicted model, not a curated record. Lineage: Eukaryota; Metazoa; Chordata; Testudines; Dermochelyidae. The transcript has 2 exons.